UAGGGAAUCUUCCGCAAUGGACGCAAGUCUGACGGAGCAACGCCGCGUGAGUGAAGAAGGAUUUCGGAUCGUAAAGCUCUGUUGUUAAGGAAGAACGAGUGUGAGAAUGGAAAGUUCAUACUGUGACGGUACUUAACCAGAAAGGGACGGCUAACUACGUGCCAGCAGCCGCGGUAAUACGUAGGUGGCAAGCGUUGUCCGGAUUUAUUGGGCGUAAAGCGAGCGCAGGCGGUCAAUUAAGUCUGAUGUGAAAGCCCCCGGCUCAACCGGGGAGGGUCAUUGGAAACUGGUUGACUUGAGUGCAGAAGAGGAGAGUGGAAUUCCAUGUGUAGCGGUGAAAUGCGUAGAUAUAUGGAGGAACACCAGUGGCGAAGGCGACUCUCUGGUCUGUAACUGACGCUGAGGUUCGAAAGCGUGGGUAGCAAACAGG
This 430-nucleotide ribosomal RNA is filed under the name Bacteroidota bacterium. Its description in RNAcentral is "Bacteroidetes bacterium partial 16S ribosomal RNA". It matches the Rfam family "Bacterial small subunit ribosomal RNA", at positions 355 to 776 of the family's 1533-position model. Lineage: Bacteria; Pseudomonadati; Bacteroidota. The record is from RNAcentral.